CUCUUCCAAAGAAGCUGGUCCUUAGCCUGUAUUGCGGAGCAAGCUUUCGGCGACCAGCUGGACCCUGGGCACCCUUCUUCGAACAAUGGCUUUUAAUUCUCAGACUAGAACGUUUAGGAUUACAAAAGAAACUGGUUCUUUUCACAUUCUUAUUCUUGUGAUGUAGCAUUCCGCAUAUAUAUAUAUAUAUAUAUAUAUAUAUAUAUAUAUAUGUAUCCAACUAUCCUAAAAGACACUACCCUUCAUCAUUCCAUGCCAUUAGACAUGUAUAGGACCAUGCAUGGUGAUCUCCUCCAGACAAAAGUAAAUGCUGGUGCAGAACAGAACUACAAGUUUAGAGGACAUGGAUUUCAGUGCCCUCAUCUGGCCAACCAUCUUCAGCUGCCAAUGGGCAAGGAGAGAGUGCCUGACCUGAGCUGGGCCCAUCAGAUCCAGUACUUACCUGGAAUACGAAAAAGAUGGAGAGAGUGACCAAAGAUUACAAAAAUCUCUGAAGCUUAUCUACUUGAGAGAGAGUCCCUGAAGAUACUGGCCUCUCAUUCCUGCUAUGUAUAUCCAAUGUGACUGAACUCUGAAUAAAAUAUACAAGUUAUAACAAUGUAGCAAUUGACCCAGCAAACGAGGACACAAACGUGUUGGAGGGAUUUGAGUUUGAUGUCUUGCAUACAAUGUGAUCCCACUGUAUGACUACACAAAUGUUGGCAAAAGUGAGUUCAGAGGAAAUGGUAGGCAAGUACUUCCCAGUUUUGGCCAGAAGAUGGAGAAAAAAGAAUUCUCAAAAAAUGUUAAAGGUAUGACCUGUUAUAUCUUCUUUUCACAGUAAUUUAGACAGAAAUUAGCAAAAUCAAACAUGUAUAAAUACUUUGGUCUGACAAUUCCAUCUCCAGGUGUCUACAGAGAAAUAGACAAGUGAUGCACGACAGAUACAUGUGUCAGUCUGGUCCCUGCAGUUGUAUUUGUAAUAAUACACAUUGGAGCAAUUUCAUGGCCAUCGGUUAGAGAAUGUUUGAGGAAUGAUCCAUUCAUAUCAAGAAGGACAUUUCAAAGAUCAAAACCUGAUGGAAAUGCUGGAGACCAUGGCGCUGAUAGGAGCUCAUGCGUGUGGACCAAUUACUACGUGACAGGCAUUGGCUCCAUGCUUUUCCUGCACUGCUCAUUUAAACACUGGACAACCUAAGUGUUCUGAUUUAUCCCAUUGGACAGAUAGAAAUGGAGGCACAGAAGAUUAAUGUGUUUAACUUCAAACCCUGGCAGAUUAGGUUUUUCAUCCAGAGCCUGUGGCUUCACCAUAGCUGUGAUUCACGUUCUGUCAUUCUCCACUUUAGGAAUUUCCAGUAUUCCAAAUAUGAGAAGCUGAGAAAACAAACAACAAACUCAAAACCCUAAAAACCGGAUACGUAAGGGUAGAUGUUUGUUGGGUGUGGAUUAAAAAUGGACUUUUUUUGCCCCAAGCAACAAAGAGGCACCUUAGAAAAUAGACAAGAGACAAGAAGAAGAGAAGCUUUAAGAGAUAUUUGGUCCAAGGAAGAGACUCUUCAGAUGGAAGGUCACGUCAGCUAGAAACAUUAAUAUGACUGGAUGGGCUCAAACCACUGACUUUUCAGUCAACAUCUGACAGCACUAACCCAGUGUUCCAGAGACACUGCUUGUUAAACAGUGAAUGCUGUUGCUCAAUUGUGUCAUCCGUAAUUGUCAAAUAUUGGCAUUUAGUAGCACAAGGAAGUAUUCUCCGUUGCCAAGCUAGAGCACCCAUAACUCUUCUGUUUUGUUGAACAUUGUUCCCCACCACAAACCCUCUUUAGAAGACUGGGGGCUCCUAAAGCAUUGAGGCCGAGAGUCCCGUCCUUGUGCAUGUUUGGGCAUUGACCCAGGGCCAAGUCAGUGGGAGACUCCUCCACGCCUACGCCAGGUCCCCAGGUGACAACUGCAGUCUCUGGAUCUGAAGUCAUCCACUUUCCCAUUCCUAGCUCACCUCACCCAUCGUGAAGCCUGGUUAGUAUUGCCAGAGACCCGAGUGGGCAGAUGCCCACACCAAAGACAGAACCUGCUGCGUGCCCACCUUGCUGAUCCCUCCCUCCUUCUAGACAAAGGCUUCAUAAGCCAGGGACCUUGGGUUUGCUCACAAGGCAGCCCCUCACCUAGUAGGCAUUAGUUCAUUAUGUAUAUGUAUAUGUAGUCCUCAGGUUGUAUUCCUUAAAUAUAUAUAGUUUAAGGAUAUGUAUUAUAUAUAUAUAAAUAUAUAUGUAAUUCCUUAAAUAUAUAAUUUUAAUACAAUUUUUUUUUUUGAGAUGGAGUCUCACUCUGUCUCCCAGGCUGGAGUGCAGUGGCACCAUCUUGGCUCACUGCAAGCUCCACCUCCCAGGUUCACGCCAUUCUCCUGCCUCAGCCUCCCAAGUACCUGGGACUACAGGCGCCCGCCACCACGCCAGGCUAAUUUUUUUUUUUUUUUGUAUUUUUAGUAGAGAUGGGGUUUCACCAUGUUAGCCAGGAUGGUCUCGAUCUUCUGACCUCAUGAUCCACCCACCUCGGCCUCCCAAAGUGCUAGGAUUACAGGCGUGGACCACCGCGCCUGGCCAAAACAAAGUUUUUAAAAGAUUCCUUUAAUAAACAUUUACAAUAACAUCAAGAAAUAUAAACGACAUAGCAAAUAUGUGAAAGCCAGCCAGACUCUCAAUGGCAUCCAGAAACAUAAACUACAUAGAAAAGACAUGAAAGCCAGCCAGGCUUGGCUUCGAAUCCCAGCACUUUGGAAGGCUGUGGCAGGAGGGUUGCUUGAUCUCAGAAGCUUGAAAUUAGCCUAGGCAACAUAGUGAGCCCUCAUCUCUACUGAAAAUCAGAAAAAUUACCCGGGUUUGGUGGUGUGAGCCUGUAGUCCCAGGAAUCAGUGGAUGAGGCCCUAGGAUGUCAUAGGCCUGAGAAUUCCAUGCUGCAGUGAGCUGUGAUUGUGCCACUGUACUCCAGCCUGGGUGAAAGAGUGAGAUCCUGUGCAGAAACAAAAGAAGAAAAAAAGAGAUAUGAAAGCCUAUAUAUUGAAGACUACCAAGUACUGCUUAGAGCAGUUAAAGACCUUUGGAAUAGAAAAUGUUUCUUCUUGCAUUUCAAGAUUGCUUUUGUUUUGGGGGGACACACUAUUUUUUAGGAAUAUGAAGUUCUUCUUAGGCAUUCCUGUAAAAAAGGCCACUUCUUGAUAGGAUUGUAUUGAAUCUGUGGGUUGCUUUGAGUUGUAUUUUUAUCUUAACCAUGUUACAACUUCCAACCCAUGGACACAAGAUGUCUGUCCAUUGAUUUAGGUCUUCCUGAAUCUCCUCGAGCAAUGUUCUGUAGUUGUCUGUG
This 3333-nucleotide long non-coding RNA is filed under the name Homo sapiens (human). RNAcentral describes it as "HSALNT0295354". The record is from RNAcentral. Lineage: Eukaryota; Metazoa; Chordata; Mammalia; Primates; Hominidae.